GUCAAUUUUUAUCUGUAAAUAAAAACUCAUUAGUAGUUGAAAAACCCAUUUACAAUUGUUCUCUUGGGUAACCUUCGUAUACUCCUCAAAACCCCAAAACCCAUCAAAACCUAAGAUUAAGUCACGCAUACCAGAUCUCAAACCAUCUCGCGCAUACCAAAUCUCGUACUAUCAUUGGUGCCCUAAUUUCUAUGAAAUUGAUACCGUUAGACGAUUGAAUCUGUUUGGAUUGGAGCUAGAAAUCGAUUGAAUCCGUUUCAAUUGGAUUCGUGCGAGCGAAUCUGUUUCAAUUGGAGUCUGCGAGUGAAUCUGUUUCGAUUGCAUGUGUUUCGAUUGAAAACCUAGAUUCGAUCUUCGAAGAAAUCUGAUAAGAAGCUGAAAUGAAUCUGAUUUUGAUUUUCAUCGAUUGGAUCAACAAUUACUGAAAAUUUGGAGAAUAAUUGAAGAUUAAGUUCUAUUGGAAGAAAUCGCUUACAAAGAUUAUGUCCAUCUCGUUAUUCUGGUUGUAGCUCUGCUAAACGCGGUGUUUUAUUAGCAGAUUGUUUUAGUUCCGGCUCCCAGUUCCGGCGACGCCAGUUCCAGCUCCCGGACAUCGCUUUCAUGUCCCCUGCUCCUUGUUCCACUAAGAGACUAUAUGGUUUUGCCAUAUGUUUGGUUGCUGGUUUGACUUGUAAACUUAUGGUACAACCUUAAGAAGCUAACUUACGAAGAGAGGUAACAAAAGCUUAUCGAGAGGUCGAAUGCUUUGAAUGAUGCUGCUGGAGAAAAUGAUGAUGACGAUUCAGACGAAGAUUGAUGAUUUUUGGCUUUAGUUAAAUGUUUGUUAGUUUGUGGUUUAACCAUGUUAGAAGUAUGUUGAAUUCAAAACAGAAUUUGUAAUUGUUUUUGGUGAUUUUUCUUGUAAGCUUUUAGCAAAAAAAAAAAAGUUGGAAUUUCUGGAUUUUUUUUGUUUU
This 953-nucleotide long non-coding RNA is filed under the name Helianthus annuus (common sunflower). The record is from RNAcentral. Lineage: Eukaryota; Viridiplantae; Streptophyta; Magnoliopsida; Asterales; Asteraceae.